CUUCUAGUGCCUACUGGUAUUUCCAUCAACCCAUCUCUCUGCUUCAAGAUUAAUGAUUUGCCAUCCUUUCUGCUUCAAGAUCCACCUUUGUCGACACCAAAAUCAUGAAGUAUAGUGCCACAAUCAGAUAACAAAACCGAAAAUUCAAGGCAAUUACACCAUGCCAGUUGAUUCCCAUGUGUUGCAGUUAGUUUGCUUCUCCCUCCGAUAGUCUCAGUCUGCACCUGCAAUUUCUAUCUUGGAUAUUCUAAGCCAUCUGGUAGCCAUAUGCAGUUCAAUUCAUCGUCCAGGUUCACAUAUGGUGGGAUUCUCAUGGUUCCAGUUUUGGGUAUGCACGUCAGGUGGGGUAUAACAAUAUAAAACAAUAGCAUGAGCAUGAUGUAUCGUUAUCAAAUCACAGACAACACAAGUUGGCUCAAAGAUCUGCAGUCUGGUCCAUUCUGGGUGAACAAACAAUCGGGUCAAGGGAUAACCUGAAAUGCAUUCAAAGAAAGGGCAAUAGUUUUAUGGGGGCUAAAAAUAGCAGAACCCAUUGCAGUAGCAGCAGGAGCAAAGAUGGCAUUCCUUCCAUCUCCAAGUGCAUAACCAGUUCAAGAUCGAUAGCCAGAGCCAGGAAGUCAAGCUAGUUACCUACAUCGCUAGUUGUUUACAUAAGAGUGACUUUGAUGAGAGAAGAGACCGAGAAGCAGGGUGUGAAAGCACGCAAAUCAAAUCCGCAUGUUCAUUGUUUUCCAUAUUCAUAAGAAACCCUCAAAUCUACUCUUCUAAAUUAGAAGAAAUUUUUUUUUGCAAUCUCUACAACACAUAAAAACAAACAUACAACUAAUGGAUUGACAAUUUCAACAUUGAAUUAUAUGACAUUGUUUUCAAGAUGAGCAAUCUAAUCUUCAACAUCCAAA
Long non-coding RNA from Cryptomeria japonica (Japanese cedar), 899 nucleotides. RefSeq lists it as uncharacterized. The transcript is spliced from 4 exons. Lineage: Eukaryota; Viridiplantae; Streptophyta; Pinopsida; Cupressales; Cupressaceae. The record is from RefSeq and is a predicted model, not a curated record.